GGGAUUGCCUUAGUAACUGCGAGUGAAGCGGCAAAAGCUCAAAUUUGAAAUCGGUGUCUACAUGAGGCGCCGAGUUGUAAUUUGGAGGGACAACUUUGGGCUGAACCACAUCGUAAGUUCCUUGGAACAGGACGUCAUAGAGGGUGAGAAUCCCGUGUCUCGAUGUUGGGUCAAACCGUGUAAAGUGUCUCCGACGAGUCGAGUUGUUUGGGAAUGCAGCUCAAAAUGGGUGGUAAAUUUCAUCUAAAGCUAAAUAUUGGCGAGAGACCGAUAGCGCACAAGUAGAGUGAUCGAAAGAUGAAAAGCACUUUGAAAAGAGAGUCAAAAAGUACGUGAAAUUGUUGAAAGGGAAGCGCUUGCGACCAGACUCGAUCUUUGGGGAUCAGUUGGGCUUCGGUCCGCUGCCCUCGCCAUUGAUUGGGCCAGCAUCGGUUCCGGCGGUGGGACAAAAGGAGGUGGAAUGUGGCUCCCUUUGGGGAGUGUUAUAGCCACCUUCACAAUGCUGCCAGUCGGGACCGAGGACCGCGCUUCGGCUAGGAUGCUGGUGUAAUGGUCUUAAGCGACCCGUCUUGAAACACGGA
RNAcentral lists this ribosomal RNA (581 nucleotides) under uncultured Pezizales. RNAcentral's name for it is "eukaryotic LSU rRNA". It matches the Rfam family "Eukaryotic large subunit ribosomal RNA", at positions 71 to 665 of the family's 3401-position model. The record is from RNAcentral. Lineage: Eukaryota; Fungi; Ascomycota; Pezizomycetes; Pezizales.